GUGAGUAACACGUGAGUAACCUGCCCCUGACUCUGGGAUAAGCCCGGGAAACUGGGUCUAAUACCGGAUACGACCACUUCCCGCAUGGGAUGGUGGUGGAAAGUUUUUUCGGUUGGGGAUGGACUCGCGGCCUAUCAGCUUGUUGGUGGGGUAACGGCCUACCAAGGCGACGACGGGUAGCCGGCCUGAGAGGGCGACCGGCCACACUGGGACUGAGACACGGCCCAGACUCCUACGGGAGGCAGCAGUGGGGAAUAUUGCGCAAUGGGCGAAAGCCUGACGCAGCGACGCCGCGUGGGGGAUGACGGCCUUCGGGUUGUAAACCUCUUUCAGCAGGGACGAAGUUGACGUGUACCUGCAGAAGAAGCGCCGGCUAACUACGUGCCAGCAGCCGCGGUAAUACGUAGGGCGCAAGCGUUGUCCGGAAUUAUUGGGCGUAAAGAGCUCGUAGGUGGCUUGUCACGUCGGGUGUGAAAGCUUGGGGCUUAACUCCAGGUCUGCAUUCGAUACGGGCUGGCUAGAGGUAGGUAGGGGAGAACGGAAUUCCUGGUGUAGCGGUGAAAUGCGCAGAUAUCAGGAGGAACACCGGUGGCGAAGGCGGUUCUCUGGGCCUUACCUGACGCUGAGGAGCGAAAGCGUGGGGAGCGAACAGGAUUAGAUAC
This 662-nucleotide ribosomal RNA is filed under the name Streptosporangium sp. Its description in RNAcentral is "bacterial SSU rRNA". It matches the Rfam family "Bacterial small subunit ribosomal RNA", at positions 106 to 785 of the family's 1533-position model. Lineage: Bacteria; Bacillati; Actinomycetota; Actinomycetes; Streptosporangiales; Streptosporangiaceae. The record is from RNAcentral.